GCUGUCGCUCAGCAGUAGAGCCUCUGCUUUGUGUGCAGAAGGCCCCAGGUUCAGUCCCAAGCAUCUCCA
Molecule: non-coding RNA, 69 nt
Organism: Podarcis lilfordi (Lilford's wall lizard)
Lineage: Eukaryota; Metazoa; Chordata; Lepidosauria; Squamata; Lacertidae
Source: the annotation of a GenBank genome assembly